This 820-nucleotide ribosomal RNA is filed under the name uncultured organism. Its description in RNAcentral is "bacterial SSU rRNA". It matches the Rfam family "Bacterial small subunit ribosomal RNA", at positions 64 to 898 of the family's 1533-position model. The record is from RNAcentral.
GAACGAGAAGCCCCUUCGGGGAGUGGAGAGUGGCGCACGGGUGAGUAACACGUGAGCAACCUGCCGGGAAGCCCGGGAUAGCCCUCCGAAAGGAGGAUUAAUACCGGAUGUGGCCACCCUGCGAUUGCAGGGGAAGCUAAAGGAUUUAUUCACUUCCCGAGGGGCUCGCGGCCCAUCAGCUUGUUGGUGAGGGUAACGGCCCACCAAGGCGACAACGGGUAGCUGGUCUGAGAGGAUGGUCAGCCACACUGGAACUGAGACACGGUCCAGACACCUACGGGUGGCAGCAGUCGAGAAUCAUUCGCAAUGGGGGAAACCCUGACGAUGCGACGCCGCGUGGAGGAUGAAGGCCUUAGGGUUGUAAACUCCUGUCAAGAGGGAAUAAGCAAGUGAAGGUACCUCUAGAGGAAGGGGCGGCUAAUUCCGUGCCAGCAGCCGCGGUAACACGGAAGCCCCGAGCGUUGUUCGGAUUCAUUGGGCGUAAAGGGUGCGUAGGCGGCGCGGAAAGUCCGGCGUGAAAGGCAGGGGCUCAACCUCUGGACUGCGUUGGAUACUUCCGUGCUUGAGGACUGGAGGGGAGACUGGAAUUCACGGUGUAGCAGUGAAAUGCGUAGAUAUCGUGAGGAAGACCGGUGGCGAAGGCGAGUCUCUGGACAGAUCCUGACGCUGAGGCACGAAGGCUGGGGGAGCGAACAGGAUUAGAUACCCUGGUAGUCCCAGCAGUAAACGAUGUGAGCUUGAUGUGGGGGGAUUCGACCCCUUCCGUGUCGAAGCUAACGCGAUAAGCUCACCGNCUGAGGAGUACGGCCGCAAGGCUAAA